RNAcentral lists this ribosomal RNA (1372 nucleotides) under uncultured bacterium. RNAcentral's name for it is "bacterial SSU rRNA". It matches the Rfam family "Bacterial small subunit ribosomal RNA", at positions 28 to 1381 of the family's 1533-position model. The record is from RNAcentral.
GAUGAACGCUGGCGGCGUGCCUAAUACAUGCAAGUCGAGCGAACGGACGAGAAGCUUGCUUCUCUGAUGUUAGCGGCGGACGGGUGAGUAACACGUGGAUAACCUACCUAUAAGACUGGGAUAACUUCGGGAAACCGGAGCUAAUACCGGAUAAUAUUUUGAACCGCAUGGUUCAAAAGUGAAAGACGGUCUUGCUGUCACUUAUAGAUGGAUCCGCGCUGCAUUAGCUAGUUGGUAAGGUAACGGCUUACCAAGGCAACGAUGCAUAGCCGACCUGAGAGGGUGAUCGGCCACACUGGAACUGAGACACGGUCCAGACUCCUACGGGAGGCAGCAGUAGGGAAUCUUCCGCAAUGGGCGAAAGCCUGACGGAGCAACGCCGCGUGAGUGAUGAAGGUCUUCGGAUCGUAAAACUCUGUUAUUAGGGAAGAACAUAUGUGUAAGUAACUGUGCACAUCUUGACGGUACCUAAUCAGAAAGCCACGGCUAACUACGUGCCAGCAGCCGCGGUAAUACGUAGGUGGCAAGCGUUAUCCGGAAUUAUUGGGCGUAAAGCGCGCGUAGGCGGUUUUUUAAGUCUGAUGUGAAAGCCCACGGCUCAACCGUGGAGGGUCAUUGGAAACUGGAAAACUUGAGUGCAGAAGAGGAAAGUGGAAUUCCAUGUGUAGCGGUGAAAUGCGCAGAGAUAUGGAGGAACACCAGUGGCGAAGGCGACUUUCUGGUCUGUAACUGACGCUGAUGUGCGAAAGCGUGGGGAUCAAACAGGAUUAGAUACCCAGGUAGUCCACGCCGUAAACGAUGAGUGCUAAGUGUUAGGGGGUUUCCGCCCCUUAGUGCUGCAGCUAACGCAUUAAGCACUCCGCCUGGGGAGUACGACCGCAAGGUUGAAACUCAAAGGAAUUGACGGGGACCCGCACAAGCGGUGGAGCAUGUGGUUUAAUUCGAAGCAGCGCGAAGAACCUUACCAAAUCUUGACAUCCUUUGACAACUCUAGAGAUAGAGCCUUCCCCUUCGGGGGACAAAGUGACAGGUGGUGCAUGGUUGUCGUCAGCUCGUGUCGUGAGAUGUUGGGUUAAGUCCCGCAACGAGCGCAACCCUUAAGCUUAGUUGCCAUCAUUAAGUUGGGCACUCUAAGUUGACUGCCGGUGACAAACCGGAGGAAGGUGGGGAUGACGUCAAAUCAUCAUGCCCCUUAUGAUUUGGGCUACACACGUGCUACAAUGGACAAUACAAAGGGCAGCGAAACCGCGAGGUCAAGCAAAUCCCAUAAAGUUGUUCUCAGUUCGGAUUGUAGUCUGCAACUCGACUACAUGAAGCUGGAAUCGCUAGUAAUCGUAGAUCAGCAUGCUACGGUGAAUACGUUCCCGGGUCU